RNAcentral lists this long non-coding RNA (1163 nucleotides) under Mytilus galloprovincialis (Mediterranean mussel). The record is from RNAcentral. Lineage: Eukaryota; Metazoa; Mollusca; Bivalvia; Mytilida; Mytilidae.
AUAAAUAAGUUUCAUUGACAUUGCAGAAAAAAUAAAUUUUAUCAACAUUUCAGAAAAGAUAAGUUUCAUCAAUAUUGCAAAAAGAUCAAUUCCAUCGACAUUGCACAAAAGAAAAGUUUCAUCAAGAUGACACAUAAGAUAAUCAAGAGAUUCAUUAAUCUUAUUACACUAAAGUUAAACAUUUCCCCUUUUCAUCACUUAUUAUUACAUGAGUUGUUUCACUUUGCAACUAAUAGUUUUUUUGUGAGGUUCACGAACUCUUUUGAGUCCAUGGAACAUAAAAUUCAAUUUUGUAUUGCCCUUUACUUUACUGUAUGUAUUUAAUCACAAAACUUUAUUUUCUUUGAAAGUACUUCUAAAACAAUUCUAUUGAAAUAAAGAAGCCCUAGGGACAUGAAUACCCUUGGUCUGUGCUACAGAUAUUUUAAAAACAAUUUAGUUACUACUUUGAAUUAAUUCGCUUUGCCUAAAUAACAUUUUCUAUUCAUUACAAACACAACCAUUAUACCUUACUAGAACUUUAAAUGUGAAAACCUCUAGUUUUGGAAUAAGUGUAGUGGGGUUGCACAUGCACAAUUCCAAUGUUAACAUAUAAAAAGGACUUUAAAUGCAGGAGUGUGUUAUAACCAGUAGGAAAACAUGAAAUGAAAGGAAAAUAGACAGAAGAAAUUCAUUGACAUGUAUAAUGAUGAAAAGGGAUCUAAUGCCCCAGAAUUCUUACACAAAGGGGAGAUAACUUGAUGAAAAGAUGGAAUUGUUUAGUUAAAAAUGUAUAUAAUCUGACACAUUUACAUUCAAUUAUUCAUUUCUCUAAUACAAUUCAACCAGUGUCAUGGCUGUUUAUGGCUUAGUACAAUGCAGUAGUCUAUAAAAAUAUUCAAAAUCAUCAAAUAAAACCUAUAAAUUCAAUAAUUCAAUAAGUUUGUAAAAGUAUUCAUGCUAUACAUGUUAUAACAGUAAAUCAUCAUUAUGUGUAGUUGUUAAAAUGGGUAAGAAAAUGUUAGACAUGUGUGUUAAAUAUAAAUGCUUCAUUAUCUAGCUAAUCUUAAAAGAGGUUAAUGCACCAAUAGAAGAGCAUCAAAUGAGAUCACUGUCUGAAUUAUGUACAAUAUCUUUUUAAUGAAUUACAAUGUUAAUGUAUAUGAAAUUUAUGACUAGCAAAA